GACAGAGGGUGCAAACGUUGCUCGGAAUCACUGGGCGUAAAGGGCGUGUAGGCGGGACAGUAAGUCGGGCGUGAAAUCCCUGGGCUCAACCCAGGAACUGCACUCGAAACUACUAUUCUUGAGUGUCGGAGAGGAAAGCGGAAUUCCUGGUGUAGAGGUGAAAUUCGUAGAUAUCAGGAGGAACACCAGUGGCGGAAGGCGGCUUUCUGGACGAUAACU
Molecule: ribosomal RNA, 219 nt
Filed under: uncultured bacterium
Lineage: Bacteria
Description: partial 16S ribosomal RNA
Rfam family: Bacterial small subunit ribosomal RNA
Source: RNAcentral